AUUCCCAUUCGGACUCCCUGACUUUGUGUUUAAAUAGGAGGAAAUCAAAGCUAAAUUAAAGUAUCUCCCAAAAUUGUAGAGAUUUCUUCAGAUAUCUCCAUUAACGAAGGGAACAAUAUCAGCCUCACCUGCAUAGCAACUGGUAGACCAGAGCCUACGGUUACUUGGAGACACAUCUCCCCCAAAGCUACUGUUUUCGUGCUCUGGGCCAGCAGAAACACGUGGCAUUAUGGAAGGGUUUUCUGACCUGGAGAGAAAUGUCUCUUUGUUCCCUUUCUUGGGCCACUCAUGUUAAUACAGUGCUGCACCCCCUGAAGCUGUGCCUCCAACCAGAUUAUAGGAGUAAUAACUAAAUCAACAGCGGUUGGCUUUGUGAGUGAAGACGAAUACUUGGAAAUUCAGGGCAUCACCCGGGAGCAGUCAGGGGACUACGAG
RNAcentral lists this small RNA (435 nucleotides) under Pan troglodytes (chimpanzee). RNAcentral's name for it is "processed transcript". Lineage: Eukaryota; Metazoa; Chordata; Mammalia; Primates; Hominidae. The record is from RNAcentral.